RNAcentral lists this ribosomal RNA (252 nucleotides) under uncultured bacterium. RNAcentral's name for it is "partial 16S ribosomal RNA". It matches the Rfam family "Bacterial small subunit ribosomal RNA", at positions 524 to 776 of the family's 1533-position model. The record is from RNAcentral.
UACGGAGGAUGCGAGCGUUAUCCGGACUUAUUGGGUUUAAAGGGUGCGUAGGCGGUUCGUUAAGUCAGCGGUAAAAUUGCGGGGCUCAACCCCGUCGAGCCGUUGAAACUGGCAGACUUGAGUUGGCGAGAAGUACGCGGAAUGCGCGGUGUAGCGGUGAAAUGCAUAGAUAUCGCGCAGAACUCCGAUUGCGAAGGCAGCGUACCGGCGCCAGACUGACGCUGAGGCACGAAAGCGUGGGGAUCGAACAGG